Molecule: ribosomal RNA, 425 nt
Filed under: uncultured bacterium
Lineage: Bacteria
Description: bacterial SSU rRNA
Rfam family: Bacterial small subunit ribosomal RNA
Source: RNAcentral
AACGCUGGCGGCGCGCUUAACACAUGCAAGUCGCACGAGAAAGUGGAGCAAUCCAUGAGUACAGUGGCGUACGGGUGAGUAACACGUAGAUUAUCUACCUUCUAGUGGGGAAUACCUCCGGGAAACUGGAGACAAUACCGCAUAAGCUCGUAAGAGGAAAGCAGCAAUGCGCUGGAAGAGGAGUCCGCGGCUGAUUAGCUAGUUGGCGGGGUAAUGGCCCACCAAGGCGAAGAUCGGUAGCCGGCCUGAGAGGGCACACGGCCACACUGGCACUGAAACACGGGCCAGACUCCUACGGGAGGCAGCAGUGGGGAAUCUUGCACAAUGGAGGAAACUCUGAUGCAGCGACGCCGCGUGAGCGAUGAAGCCCUUCGGGGUGUAAAGCUCUUUCGACGGGAACGAUAAUGACGGUACCCGAAGAAGAA